RNAcentral lists this ribosomal RNA (699 nucleotides) under uncultured Glomerales. RNAcentral's name for it is "LSU rRNA". It matches the Rfam family "Eukaryotic large subunit ribosomal RNA", at positions 38 to 633 of the family's 3401-position model. The record is from RNAcentral. Lineage: Eukaryota; Fungi; Glomeromycota; Glomeromycetes; Glomerales; Glomeraceae.
GCAUAUCAAUAAGCGGAGGAAAAGAAACUAACAAGGAUUCCCUUAGUAACGGCGAGUGAAGAGGGAAGAGCUCAAAUUUUAAAUCUAUCAUGUUGUACAUGAUCGAGUUGUAAUUUGAAGAAGCAUUUUCUCGUACUUUAUGAUCAGUAUAAGUUCUCUUGGAACAGGACAUCAUAGAGGGUGAUAAUCCCGUCUGUUACUGAUUGUGAGGUUCGUUUAUGAUACGCUUUCAAAGAGUCGAGUUGUUUGGGAUUGCAGCUCCAAAUGGGUGGUAAACAUCACCUAAGGCUAAAUAUUUGCGAGAGACCGAUAGCGAACAAGUACCGUGAGGGAAAGAUGAAAAGAACUUUGAAAAGAGAGUUAAAAGGUAUGUGAAAUUGUUGAAAGGGAAACGAUUGAAGUCAGUCGUGCAGUUAUCAAUUCAGCGGUUAACAUUUUAUGUUUCCGUGUAAUUUGGUGUCUGUUGGUUAGCAUCAAUUUUGAUUGUUAUAAAAAGGUUAAGGGGAUGUGGCUCCUUCGGGAGUGUUAUAACCCUUAGCGUAAUGUGACGAUUAGGAUUGAGGUUUGCAACGAAUACCUUUUAGGGCAGUUUCACCUGGCCUCUCGUGGAAUUAUAGAUAGUUAAGAGCAUGCUCUUACUGUUUAUGAUUCUACGAAAAGGUUGGAGUGUAAAACUAAUUCGUUAAGGAUGUUGACGUA